AACGCGCUGACCCGGCCCGCGUGGUUAAUGAAUCACGGUGUGACACAGCCGCCAGGUCGGAUUUGAACCCAGGCCUCCAAGGAAAGUGUGACGUCAGGUGGCCAUGGAUCCCUGCAAGCUAGGUUAUAAAUGGAGCCCCUCCCUAGGCUUGCCUCUUUAUCCUCCCAACCAAUAUAUGGAGCAGGCACUGAAAUAAUCACAUGGCCUAGCCUGGCUGCUCACAGACGGGACAGCCGAGAGCAUUGGUUUCGCGAACAAGUCUUGUCCAACCAUCUCACUACACAGGAGCCCAGCGUCUUCCAGCAUGAGGAUGGCUUAUAGAAUAAAUACCUACCUGAAGAGCCUGUGCUCACUUUGGAGGAGAUGCCUGCGGGAGAUGCUUUGGGGCUGGGCCUUGAAGAAAUGGAUUUUCUCCAGGCAGAAAAGGAGCAGGAGGGAAUUCCAG
Molecule: non-coding RNA, 445 nt
Organism: Leptonychotes weddellii (Weddell seal)
Lineage: Eukaryota; Metazoa; Chordata; Mammalia; Carnivora; Phocidae
Source: RefSeq, a predicted model, not a curated record